UUUUGAUAUUUUCACUCAGAUUGUAAACGCUGCAGUCACUGAGAGCGUCAAAAUUUUCCGUUUAGUUGCAGAGUGCAAUGAGAAAAACUGCGUCGAUAAAACGUCGUCGACAACUUUAGCUAAUGAAUUUGUAGCCAAGUUAAUAUAGGUGAAAGGAAACACUUAGCAGCCGCAAUAAUCAGGCUACUACCUUCAUAAAGAUAUUCUAAGUCAGUGGAGGGUCUGGUGAGU
Folsomia candida is the source of this 231-nucleotide long non-coding RNA. RefSeq lists it as uncharacterized. NCBI's taxonomy places the organism in Eukaryota, Metazoa, Arthropoda, Collembola, Entomobryomorpha, Isotomidae. The transcript has 3 exons. The record is from RefSeq and is a predicted model, not a curated record.